UGAAAACCCUUCAGUAAACUAUAUUGUGUUUGAGUCGAUGUGUGAAGUGUGUUGAUGUUAUUUUAGUACAUUGUAAAAACAAUGGGUGUGCAUUAUCACUGUAAAUAGAGAAAAUAAAACUAUUGUUGGGUAACCUUUUAACAAUACUAUCAGCUAUGGCCACUACAAAUAAAAGAUUGAAGAAGUAUGAGAGUAAAGAAAAAAGAGAAGAGAGGUAUUCGAUUAUCAGUCUUGGAGGUUAG
This 242-nucleotide long non-coding RNA is filed under the name Carica papaya (papaya). Its description in RNAcentral is "long non-coding RNA (CPAP_LNC015378)". Lineage: Eukaryota; Viridiplantae; Streptophyta; Magnoliopsida; Brassicales; Caricaceae. The record is from RNAcentral.